GUGUUUAGUAGAAAGACAAUCCUUUUUUCUUCCAGUCAAUUUUUUCUUUGAUCUACAGAACUUGCUUCUUUUCUCUGAAGUUUUCACAAUACAGCAUGAUAGAAGGAGCACAGAGUGCCAGAGGCAGGGAAUUCCUAUGCUUCACUAGUGACUCAUAAGAAAACUUAAUAGAAGGUCUCUACUGCCUGCUGGCCCUGCAGUACCUGAUUGAUGUGGUCCCAAACUAAAGUAGGCUAACCUUCAUUGAACCAAGCACUUCAGAGCCAUGGGAAGAAGUAUGGGGGAAGGAGUCCUUGUACUCUGGCAAUGAGGAAAACAAACAUUAACAGUGCAAGACACAGUGAGAGUCACAGAUCCAUGGAUGGACGAUCCUUUUGAGGACAAUAGAGGGGGAAUUUGGAUAAGUUUCCUGAGUGAGAAACCUUCCAGAUGGCAAUCUGAAAGUUAGCUGUUCCUUCUCAAAACACAGAGCUUUCUCAAGAGAAAGAUAACACCCUCUUUCAUCAGAGCGAGCGAGCUUUCUUCAUGGUGGCAAUUUCCAGUCUCCAGUGCAAGGAGGGGAAACUGAAGGAGAAUAAGGCGGUUACAUUCAGUUAGAGCCUGAGAGCAGAAUUUGGUUAGGCUGAAGCAGCUGGAAACUGUGGAAUGUAAUACCAGAGAGGAGACUGCCACACAAAGAACUCUAAAAAUUUUGAUUUUCAGCAAACCUUCAGAAGGCAAAAGGGAAAGUUUUCCCAUGGGCCAACGUGGAUAUGUUUCUGUAAUAGUCUGCUCAGCCUUCUACAACAAGAUGUCGCAGACUGGGUGACUUAAACCAGGGAUCCUCAAACCCUGGCAAUGGAUCGGUACGGGUCAGUGGCCUGUUAGGAAUCAGGCCACGUAGCAGGAGCUCAUUCUAGGGGAAACCAGCUGCCAUAUUAAGAAAACAGUCCUAUGGAAAGGGCCAUGGAACAAAGAAGUGACUUCUGCCAACAACCUCAUGAGUGAACCUAGAAGUGGCUCAUCUAGUCCUGGUCAAAUCUUAUGGACUGUGGCUCCAACUGAUAGUGUGACUGUAACUUCAUAAGAGACGCUGAACCAGACCACCCAAUAAGACACUCCCAGAUUCCCUACUCUCAAAAGUUGUGUGAAAUAAUCACCCCCAGUUGUAUUAAACUGCUAAGUUUUGGGGUAGUGUGUUACACAGCAAUAAAUCAUAAAUACAACAUCCAAGCAAUAAAUUUCUAUGAUAAAU
This 1234-nucleotide long non-coding RNA is filed under the name Homo sapiens (human). Its description in RNAcentral is "non-protein coding LINC01241:11". The record is from RNAcentral. Lineage: Eukaryota; Metazoa; Chordata; Mammalia; Primates; Hominidae.